This 239-nucleotide small nuclear RNA is filed under the name Octodon degus (degu). RNAcentral's name for it is "7SK RNA (ENSODEG00000022477.1)". It matches the Rfam family "7SK RNA". Rfam says of the family: 7SK was discovered as an abundant small nuclear RNA in the mid-70s but a possible function has only recently been suggested. Two independent studies have found that 7SK RNA binds the CDK9/cyclin T complex (known as elongation factor P-TEFb). P-TEFb activates transcription by phosphorylating the C-terminal domain of RNA polymerase II. Lineage: Eukaryota; Metazoa; Chordata; Mammalia; Rodentia; Octodontidae. The record is from Rfam by way of RNAcentral.
GGACAUGAGGGUGAUGUGGCUGUGACAUGUGACUCCCCAUUGAUCUCCAGCAUCAAGUAAGCUGAUCUGGCUGGCUGGUGGGUGUCCCUUCUUCACCAUGGCUCCAAGUUUACCCCUCCCAAAGCUGCAUGCAAAGGGGAUACACCCCCCCCCUGGCAGAUUUCCUCAUAUUCUCUCAAAUACUUUUGAUAUGUUCAUUUUCAUUAUGUGAUGCAAUAACUGUUUGUGUAUUACAUUUU